Molecule: long non-coding RNA, 1999 nt
Organism: Oncorhynchus keta (chum salmon)
Lineage: Eukaryota; Metazoa; Chordata; Actinopteri; Salmoniformes; Salmonidae
Exons: 3
Source: RefSeq, a predicted model, not a curated record
GCACUACCAUAGGUCCCUGGUCUAAAGUAGUGCACUACCAUAGGUCCCUGGUCUAAAGUAGUGCACUACCAUAGGUCCCUGGUCUAAAGUAGUGCACUACCAUAGGUCCCUGGUCUAAAGUAGUGCACUACCAUAGGUCCCUGGUCUAAAGUAGUGCACUACCAUAGGGCCCUGGUCUAAAGUAGUGCACUACCAUAGGUCCCUGGUCUAAAGUAGUGCACUACCAUAGUGCCCUGGUCUAAAGUAGUGCACUACCAUAGGUCCCUGGUCUAAAGUAGUGCACUACCAUAGGUCCCUGGUCUAAAGUAGUGCACUACCAUAGGGCCCUGGUCUAAAGUAGUGCACUACCAUAGGUCCCUGGUCUAAAGUAGUGCACUACCAUAGGGCCCUGGUCUAAAGUAGUGCACUACCAUAGGUCCCUGGUCUAAAGUAGUGCACUACCAUAGGUCCCUGGUCUAAAGUAGUGCACUACCAUAGGGCCCUGGUCUAAAGUAGUGCACUACCAUAGGUCCCUGGUCUAAAGUAGUGCACUACCAUAGGGCCCUGGUCUAAAGUAGUGCACUACCAUAGGGCCCUGGUCUAAAGUAGUGCACUACCAUAGGGCCCUGGUCUAAAGUAGUGCACUACCAUAGGGCCCUGGUCUAAAGUAGUGCACUACCAUAGGUCCCUGGUCUAAAGUAGUGCACUACCAUAGGUCCCUGGUCUAAAGUAGUGCACUACCAUAUGAUCUGUUCUACGAUCUGUUCUAAGAUCUGUUCUAAGAUCUGUUCUAAGAUCUGUUCUAAGAUCUGUUCUAAGAUCUGUUCUAAGAUCUGUUCUACGAUCUGUUCUACGAUCUGUUCUAAGAUCUGUUCUAAGAUCUGUUCUAAGAUCUGUUCUAAGAUCUGUUCUAAGAUCUGUUCUACGAUCUGUUCUACGUUCUGUUCUAAGAUCUGUUCUAAGAUCUGUUCUACGAUCUGUUCUAAGAUCUGUUCUAAGAUCUGUUCUAAGUUCUGUUCUGAGAUCUGUUCUAUGAUCUGUUCUACGAUCUGUUCUAAGAUCUGUUGUGAGAUCUGUUCUAAGUUCUAAGAUCUGUUCUAAGUUCUAUGAUCUGUUCUGAAAUCUGUUCUAAGAUCUGUUCUACGAUCUGUUCUAAGAUCUGUUCUAAGAUCUGUUCUAAGUUCUAAGAUCUGUUCUAAGUUCUGUUCUGAGAUCUGUUGUGAGAUCUGUUCUACGAUCUGUUCUAAGAUCUGUUCUAAGUUCUGUUCUGAGAUCUGUUCUAUGAUCUGUUCUACGAUCUGUUCUAAGAUCUGUUCUAAGUUCUAAGAUCUGUUCUAAGUUCUAAGAUCUGUUCUGAGAUCUGUUGUGAGAUCUGUUCUACGAUCUGUUCUAAGAUCUGUUCUAAGUUCUAAGAUCUGUUCUGAAAUCUGUUCUACGAUCUGUUCUAAGAUCUGUUCUAAGUUCUAAGAUCUGUUCUGAAAUCUGUUCUAAGAUCUGUUCUACGAUCUGUUCUAAGAUCUGUUCUGAGAUCUGUUCUAAGAUCUGUUCUACGAUCUGUUGUGAGAUCUGUUCUGAGAUCUGUUGUGAGAUCUGUUCUACGAUCUGUUCUAAGAUCUGUUCUAAGUUCUAAGAUCUGUUCUAAGUUCUAAGAUCUGUUCUAAGUUCUGUUCUGAGAUCUGUUCUAUGAUCUGUUCUACGAUCUGUUCUAAGAUCUGAGAUCUGUUCUGAAAUCUGUUCUACGAUCUGUUCUAAGAUCUGUUCUGAGAUCUGUUCUGAAAUCUGUUCUAAGAUCUGUUCUACGAUCUGUUUUAGAUCAAUCAAUCACAUGUAUUUCUAAAGCCCUUUUUACAUCAGCCGUUUUCACAAAGUGCUUAGAGAGGAACUCAGCCUCAAAACACCUUAUCUGUUUGUGUUGAAGAGAGGAAGAAGGGUUUUUAAAGCAGCACGACAUAAAGCCUCCCCCUCCCCUCGACUGAGAUAACAGGUUUGUAGGAGCAUCCGAGGGAUGGGAGGAGAAGGG